GGUUCUGUAGCUCAGUUGGUAGAGCAGUGGACUGAACAUCCACGUGUCGGCGGUUCAAUUCCGCCCGGGACCA
RNAcentral lists this transfer RNA (73 nucleotides) under Fibrobacter sp. Its description in RNAcentral is "tRNA-Phe". It matches the Rfam family "tRNA". Rfam says of the family: Transfer RNA (tRNA) molecules are approximately 80 nucleotides in length. Their secondary structure includes four short double-helical elements and three loops (D, anti-codon, and T loops). The record is from RNAcentral. Lineage: Bacteria; Pseudomonadati; Fibrobacterota; Fibrobacteria; Fibrobacterales; Fibrobacteraceae.